GUACCAUGAUGUGGGCAUUUCCUUAGCGACUCUUUAAGUCUUUCCCAUGCAUCUUACAAUGAUUCCCUUUCUGUCUGGUAGAAAUUAUUAAUUUUCCCUCUAAACUU
Small nucleolar RNA from Humulus lupulus (European hop), 107 nucleotides. NCBI's taxonomy places the organism in Eukaryota, Viridiplantae, Streptophyta, Magnoliopsida, Rosales, Cannabaceae. The record is from RefSeq and is a predicted model, not a curated record.